This 212-nucleotide ribosomal RNA is filed under the name Escherichia coli. RNAcentral describes it as "partial 16S ribosomal RNA". It matches the Rfam family "Bacterial small subunit ribosomal RNA", at positions 1 to 218 of the family's 1533-position model. Lineage: Bacteria; Pseudomonadati; Pseudomonadota; Gammaproteobacteria; Enterobacterales; Enterobacteriaceae. The record is from RNAcentral.
AAAUUGAAGAGUUUGAUCAUGGCUCAGAUUGAACGCUGGCGGCAGGCCUAACACAUGCAAGUCGAACGGUAACAGGAAUCAGCUUGCUGAUUUGCUGACGAGUGGCGGACGGGUGAGUAAUGUCUGGGAAACUGCCUGAUGGAGGGGGAUAACUACUGGAAACGGUAGCUAAUACCGCAUAACGUCGCAAGACCAAAGAGGGGGACCUUCGG